RNAcentral lists this transfer RNA (72 nucleotides) under Camelus bactrianus (Bactrian camel). It matches the Rfam family "tRNA". Rfam says of the family: Transfer RNA (tRNA) molecules are approximately 80 nucleotides in length. Their secondary structure includes four short double-helical elements and three loops (D, anti-codon, and T loops). RNAcentral also lists the same sequence under 2 other names. Lineage: Eukaryota; Metazoa; Chordata; Mammalia; Artiodactyla; Camelidae. The record is from Rfam by way of RNAcentral.
GGGGGUAUAGCUCAGUGGUAGAGUGUGUGCUUAGCAUGCACAGGGUCCUGAGUUCAAUCCCUAGUACUGCCA